RNAcentral lists this ribosomal RNA (1396 nucleotides) under uncultured anaerobic bacterium. Its description in RNAcentral is "bacterial SSU rRNA". It matches the Rfam family "Bacterial small subunit ribosomal RNA". The record is from RNAcentral.
UGGCCGCGGGAUUAGAGUUUGAUCAUGGCUCAGGACGAACGCUGGCGGCGUGCCUAACACAUGCAAGUCGAGCGGAGAAUGUGGAUAUGUUUACAUAGAAGCGUUCUUAGCGGCGGACGGGUGAGUAACACGUGGGUAACCUGCCUCAAAGUGGGGGAUAGCCUUCCGAAAGGAAGAUUAAUACCGCAUAAGCCUACAGUAUCGCAUGGUACAGCAGGAAAAGGAGCAAUCCGCUUUGAGAUGGACCCGCGGCGCAUUAGCUAGUUGGUGAGGUAACGGCUCACCAAGGCGACGAUGCGUAGCCGACCUGAGAGGGUGAUCGGCCACAUUGGAACUGAGACACGGUCCAGACUCCUACGGGAGGCAGCAGUGGGGAAUAUUGCACAAUGGGCGAAAGCCUGAUGCAGCAACGCCGCGUGAGUGAUGAAGGCCUUCGGGUCGUAAAGCUCUUUGAUCAGGGAUGAUAAUGACAGUACCUGAAAAACAAGCCACGGCUAACUACGUGCCAGCAGCCGCGGUAAUACGUAGGUGGCGAGCGUUGUCCGGAAUUACUGGGCGUAAAGGAUGCGUAGGUGGAUAUUUAAGUGGGAUGUGAAAUCCCCGGGCUCGACCCGGGAACUGCAUUCCAAACUGGGUAUCUAGAGUGCAGGAGAGGAAAGCGGAAUUCCUAGUGUAGCGGUGAAAUGCGUAGAUAUUAGGAGGAACACCAGUGGCGAAGGCGGCUUUCUGGACUGUAACUGACACUGAGGCAUGAAAGCGUGGGUAGCAAACAGGAUUAGAUACCCUGGUAGUCCACGCCGUAAACGAUGGGUACUAGGUGUAGGAGGUAUCGACCCCUUCUGUGCCGUCGUUAACACAAUAAGUACCCCGCCUGGGGAGUACGGUCGCAAGACUAAAACUCAAAUGAAUUGACGGGGGCCCGCACAAGCGGUGGAGCAUGUGGUUUAAUUCGAUGCAACGCGAAGAACCUUACCUGGUCUUGACAUAGUAAGAACUUUCCAGAGAUGGAUUGGUGUCUUCGGGAACUUACAUACAGGUGCUGCAUGGCUGUCGUCAGCUCGUGUCGUGAGAUGUUGGGUUAAGUCCCGCAACGAGCGCAACCCUUUUCCUUAUUUGCCAGCGGGUUAAGCCGGGAACUUUAAGGAUACUGCCAGUGACAAACUGGAGGAAGGCGGGGACGACGUCAAGUCAUCAUGGCCCUUACGACCAGGGCUACACACGUGCUACAAUGGUCGGUACAAAGGGUUGCUACCUAGCGAUAGGAUGCUAAUCUCAAAAAGCCGAUCGUAGUCCGGAUUGGAGUCUGCAACUCGACUCCAUGAAGUCGGAAUCGCUAGUAAUCGCGGAUCAGAAUGCCGCGGUGAAUACGUUCCCGGGCCUUGUACACACCGCCCGU